UACGUAGGUGGCAAGCGUUAUCCGGAAUUACUGGGCGUAAAGCGCACGCAGGCGGUCUUUUAAGUUUGACGUGAAAGCUCUCGGCUUAACUGGGAGAGGUCGUUGAAUACUGGGAGACUUGAGGAAAUGAGGGGGGUGUCGAAUUCCCGGUGUAGUGGUGGAAUGCGUAGAUAUCGGGGGGAAUACCAGUGGCGAAAGCGGCACCCUAGCAUUUGUCUGACGCUCAUGUGCGAAAGUGUGGGGAGCGAACGGU
RNAcentral lists this ribosomal RNA (253 nucleotides) under uncultured bacterium. Its description in RNAcentral is "partial 16S ribosomal RNA". It matches the Rfam family "Bacterial small subunit ribosomal RNA", at positions 524 to 776 of the family's 1533-position model. The record is from RNAcentral.